AACUCCUGCUUUAAUUUAGGUAAAUCCUGCUCUGUCUCAGACUGUAAAAUGGGGCGGAGCACAGCUGGUUUACAGUGGGUGUUACGUCCCCGGGGAGUGAAGACUGGGGAAUUUCCACCAUCAAGUUAAGUCACGGUAAUAAGGGAUUGACUUCUGCAGUGAAUGGGAACCUUGACCUUUCACCUUGGGCAAACUGGGUUCCGAAGUAGCUGACUGGUGGUGAGAGGUUAGUUUUUCACUGAUCGCCUAUUCCUAGCAUCCUGUCCUGAAGCAGCCACCUUUCUUGCAGCAAUAAAAAUGGAAACGCUGGAAGAAUUAAUCAGGUCAGACAGCAAAGAUGCUGCCUGACUUCCAGUACUUAGAAUCUAAUUCCCAUCAUGAAGCAGGUUCCUGAAUACUCUGGGAUACUUGUUGACUGUAUGGCUUUUGGAAGCAAACCACUGCAUGCUGGAGCGGGUGCUGUAUCGUUGCACACGUGCAGCUGGCUGGCUGUUGGUUUCCUCAUCACUAUCCUAUGAGCAGCUCGUCCAGUUCCUCCUGAGGCUGAACAUAUUCCUCGCUCCCAGUUCCCUUACUUCAUGACCCCGCUCAGCGGGGAGAUGGUUCCAGGUUCCCAUCCACUUUAUGGGAAGGAGUGCUUCUCAAGACCUUCCUGAGCAAUUCAGCUCUGACCUGAAGCUUACGGCCACCAGAGAAACCAGAAUCAGAACUGUUGACUGUGGUGGAAGUGGGAAGACCAGAGAAGAUCCAUUCAGGGUGAGUGGAGGAAAGAUUAGAGAAGAUGUCAGAGAGUCUUGGCUAUCUCCCGCCAUUCCGGGCGAAGGGAUACAGUUUGCUGGCUUCACUAUUCACUACCAAUAUUGGACUAUUGAAUCCUUCAAAAGCAGAGGAAGUGGAGUAUGCUUUAUGAUUAACUCCUCGUGGUGCACAAACGUGAUGAUUAUGUCCCAGUCCUGCUCACCUAACUUGGAACAUCGAGCGAUCGAGUGUCGUCCAUUUUAUCUGCUGGAGUUUUCAGCCAUUAUCUCGGUAGCAGUCUACCUUCCACCUCAGGCCCAUGUCAUUUAGACUAGCGAACUAAGUGAUGUAAUCAACAGGCAUGAAACAGCGCACCCUGCUGCCUUUUCUAUCAUUUUGGGAGGUUUUAGCCAGGCCUGCUUGAAGAAGUCUCUAAAUAAUUAUCACCAGAGUAUGCUUUAUGUGGAACCAGAGGAACCAACACACUGGACCAUGGUUAUAUGACCUUCAAGAAUACUUAUUGUGCCAUUCCAUGCCCACACUUUGAAAAGUCAGAUCACCCAGCUGUACCUCUACUCCCUGAAAAUAGGCAGAGAUUAAAGAUUGCAACACCAAUAGAGAGGACCAAGAAGGUUUGGACAAGGGAGGCAGAGGAGCACUUAAAGACUGCUUUGAGUCUGUGGACUGGUCAGUAUUUAGGGAUUCAUCUUUGAGUCUGAAUGAAUAUGCCACAGCUGUCACUAACAUCGCUAAAACCUGUGUGGAAAAGUGUGUGCCUACAAGAACAUACUGUACAUACCCAAAUCAAAAGCCAGGGAUGAAGCUGGAGAUUUGCAGUCUGCUGAGUGCUUUAUCAGUGGCAUUCAAGUCUGGUGAUCCAGGACUACACAAGAAGCCCAGGUACAACUUAGGGAGGGCUAUCUCAAGAGCAAAAGAACAAUUGUGAUUGAGGUUAGAGGCGAAAUCAGAUGCAAGCCAAUUCUGGCAGCAUUUGCAGGGCAUUGCUUCCUACAAAGUGAAGCCUAACAUCAUGAAUGGCAGGGAUAUUUCACUCCCAGAUGAGCUCAAUGCCUUAUAUGCAUGCUUUGAAAGGGAGAAUAAAACUACAGCUGUGAGGAUACCUAUAGCAUCCGGUGACCCUGUGAUCUCUGUCACGGAGGCCAACGUCAGAAUGAUUUUCAGGAGGGAGAACCCUCACAAGGCUACAGGCCCCAAUGGUGUACUUGGUACAGCUCUAAAAAUCUGUGCCAACCAACUGAUGAGUGAGUUCAAAGACAUUUUCAAUCUCUCAUUGCUCCUGUCAGCAGUUCCUAUCUGCUUCAAAAGGGCAACAAUCAUACCAGUGCCCAAGAAGAGCAGAGUAUGCAGCCUAAAUGACUAUUGUCCAGUGGCACUCAUAUCUAUGGUGAUGAAGUGCUUUGAGAGGGUGGUUGUGACUAGAAACAUAUCCUGCCUAAGCAAGUUUGCCUAUCACUACAAUAGGUCUACAGUGGAUGCAAUCUCCUUGGUUCUUCACAAAGCCUUGGAUCUCUUGGACAAUCCUAAUACUUACGUUAGGCUGCUGUUAAUUGACCACAGCUCAGAAUUUAACAUAAUCAUUCCUACAGUCCUGAUCAAAAAGCACCAAAACCUGGGCCUCUGUACCUCCCUCUGCAACUGGAUCCACAACCUCCUCUCAGGAAGACCACAGUCUGUGCCGAUUGGAAACAACAUCUCCACCUCUCUGACAGUGGCGCACCUCAAGAAUGUGUGCUUAGUCCACUGCUCUACUCUCACUUCAUCCAUGACUAGGCGCAGCUCAAAUGCCUUAAAUAAAUUUGUUGAUGACGCAACUAUUGUUGACAGAAUUUCAGAUAGUGAUGAGGAGUCAUACAGGAGCGAGUUACAUCAGCUGGUUGAGUGAUGCUGCAGCAACAACCUUGCACUUAACGUCAUUUAGACCAAAGAAUUGAUUGUGGACGUCAGAAAUUGUAAGAUGACUGAACACACACCAAUUCUCAUUGAGAGAUCAGAAGUGGAAAGGGUGAGCAAUUUCACAUUCCUGGGUGUCAAUAUCUCUGAGGAGCUAUCCUGGCCUAACAUAUUGAUGCAGUUAUAAAGAAGGCAUGACAAUGGCUAUAUUUCACUGGGAGCUUGGGGAGAUUCAGUACGUCACCAGAGACAGUUGCAAAUUUCAACAGCAUACCAUGAAGAGCAUUCCCACUGGCUGUGUCACCAUCUGGUACAGUGGAGGGGAGGGAACACACUGCACAGGAUCAAAAUAAGCUACAGAAAAUUGUUAACUCAGUCACCCCCAGCAUACAGGAGAUCUUCAAGGAGUGAUUCUUCAAAAAGAUACCAUCCAUCAAUAAGGACCCCCAUCACCCAGGACAUGCCCUUUUCUCAUUGCUGCCAUCAGGGAUAAUUCAAAGUUUCAAGCUCCUGGGUGUCAAGAUCUCUGAGGAUCUAACCUGGUCCCAACAUAUCGAUACAGUUAUAAAGAAGGCAAGACAGCGGCUAUACUUUAUUAGGAGUUUGAAGAGAUUUGGCAUGUCAACAAAUACACUCAAAAACUCCUAUAGUUGUACCGUGGAGAGCACUCUGACAGGCUGCAUCACUGUCUGGAAUGGAGGGGCUACUGCACAGGACCGAAAGAAGCUGCAGAAGGUUGUAAAUUAGUCAGCUCCAUCUUGGGUACUAGCCUACAAAGUACCCAGGAAUCUUUAGGGAGUGGUGUCUCAGAAAGGCAGCAUCCAUUAUUAAGGACCUCCAGCACCCAGGGCAUGCCCUUUUCUCACUGUUACCAUCAGGUAGGAGAUACAGAAGCCUGAAGGCACACACUCAGCGAUUCAGGAACAGCUUCUUCCCCUCUGCCAUCCGAUUCCUAAAUGGACAUUGAAUCCUUGGACACUACCUAAUUUUUAAAAAAUAUACAGCAUUUCUGUUUUUGCACUUUUUAAAUCUAUUCAUUAAUUGAUUUACUUGCUUAUUGAUUAUUAUUAUUUUUAUUUAAGUUUCUCUGCUAGAUUAUGUAUUGCAUUGAACUGAUGCUGCUAAGUUAACA
Long non-coding RNA from Mobula hypostoma (lesser devil ray), 3781 nucleotides. RefSeq lists it as uncharacterized. The record is from RefSeq and is a predicted model, not a curated record. The transcript has 4 exons. Lineage: Eukaryota; Metazoa; Chordata; Chondrichthyes; Myliobatiformes; Myliobatidae.